UCCCUGGAGGACUAGUGGAUAGGCCACAAUGCUCUUACUGCUGCAGUCCGGGGUCGAUUCCCAGCCAGGGAA
RNAcentral lists this transfer RNA (72 nucleotides) under Pangasianodon hypophthalmus (striped catfish). Its description in RNAcentral is "tRNA-Lys". It matches the Rfam family "tRNA". From Rfam's summary of the family: Transfer RNA (tRNA) molecules are approximately 80 nucleotides in length. Their secondary structure includes four short double-helical elements and three loops (D, anti-codon, and T loops). Further hydrogen bonds mediate the characteristic L-shaped molecular structure. tRNAs have two regions of fundamental functional importance: the anti-codon, which is responsible for specific mRNA codon recognition, and the 3' end, to which the tRNAs corresponding amino acid is attached (by aminoacyl-tRNA synthetases). tRNAs cope with the degeneracy of the genetic code in two manners: having more than one tRNA (with a specific anti-codon) for a particular amino acid; and 'wobble' base-pairing, i.e. permitting non-standard base-pairing at the 3rd anti-codon position. The record is from RNAcentral. Lineage: Eukaryota; Metazoa; Chordata; Actinopteri; Siluriformes; Pangasiidae.